GGACAAUACCAGACACGGUGAAGACGUCGAGGAGAGUUUGUACAGUGACAGCUGCAUUCAACUGGAAGAACAAAGGAACAGUGGUAACAGUCGCUUUCUGGACCCCGUUUCCAUAGCUGUUAUCGAAAACGAGUGAAUGGGCCAAUAAGCAUUCAGGUCUUGGAAGGGAGUCCAGGUCUUUGUGAGCGUAGAUCAUGCAAAUUUGCAGAGCCAGCAAGGAAAGCGAUUCGGAUCAGAAACAGGAGGCGGAGACUCACCGUAGAGGUCAACGAAGGGCUGGACACGCCAGGGCCGGAAGUAGCCGGAGGCCU
Hordeum vulgare subsp. vulgare (domesticated barley) is the source of this 311-nucleotide long non-coding RNA. RefSeq lists it as uncharacterized. The transcript has 3 exons. NCBI's taxonomy places the organism in Eukaryota, Viridiplantae, Streptophyta, Magnoliopsida, Poales, Poaceae. The record is from RefSeq and is a predicted model, not a curated record.